UUUACAGCAGGAGCAUGUAUCAACAGAAGGAGCAGGGAAGGCAGGAAAGGGAAGGGGGGAAGGACUGGCACAAGUUCUAUCUGCGUUUCUACUGUAGGAAAGGGACAGAGUGUAAAAUGAACUUCCAGGCAGUAAGUUUAACCGUGCACUCCCGGCCUGUCCUUUAGAAAGGGAAAAGGACAGUUUUGACUCCCUGUCAGCUUAAGAAAGAACCAUAUUUUUCUCAAACUUCCAUGAAUAAUUUUGUUAUUUACUAAACAAAUACUGAAAACCCAAGGAUCUUAACCUGCAGAUCAAGAUGAUGCGGAAAUCAGCCAUUUGCCUUAUGUGCAAUUCCUCUGAAGACAGAAAAUUUAUAGCUAAAAAUAAAGAUCCAAUUUAACUGUUUAAUAAUAGUUAUAAUGUGAUUAAGUAUUUAAGAUUCCAAACAGUUCCAAGUGCUUGGUAAUAAUUUAUUUCUACCACCUAAAGAACCAAACAAGUCAGCUGUUCAAAAGUGAUUUGCAUGCAUUGCGCAGGAUUGCAUUAAUUCAGCAGUCCAUUCCAGUUCGUUUCAAAUCCUGCCUGAGAUUGCUCGCUCCCAAAAUACCUACCAAAAGAGAAGAUGCAGCUGUGCAAAUUUAGACAAUUCUGAGUUUUAAGGGAAACAUAAAAAAUAACCAAGCCAUGUUAGAAUGGUUCCAAGCAAAUAUGAUUUAGUAACGAAAAACUGGCCAAAUACUUGGAGCACAAAUCAAAACAAACUAGAACAAUCCUCUUAUGAUCGGAUACACGAUUUAGCAGAAAAAAAAGUGAAUCUUGUGAAUCUAUACAGUCCUUCAGAACAAACUAAUGAAGUAAUAUUGGGUGUCUCACUUUGAAAGCCUGUGUGAGACUGCUAACCCAUUUGUAAUGCAUUUACUUCUGAAAACUUACCCUUCCAGUUCACUUUUAAGCAGUAUAAAGCUAAUUGUUCUAGAAUGCAGCAGCUCUCAGAAGUGGAAAAAAUGCAGACACAGGAACAUUGAGCAGAGUCUGACAAUGCAUCUCAACAUUAAAAAUGUAUAGCAGUCAAUUCAGUUGAAGUCAUUAAUUAUACACAACUAUUUCUAAUUCAAAUCAUGAGCAUCUAAUUUAUGUAUUUAAUAAAAACUCCCCCUUUUGCCCCCUCUACUGAAGUGCCUUGUCUCUAUGCAGGUAAAUCUGUAUUUUUAAUUUUCGUUUUGACUGACGAACAAGUUAUUAACACCAUGGGAGGGAAGACAGAAAAGAUCACGCUGUCAGCCUCCAGUACUACUGUAGAGUGUACUUGGACUUCUGGAAACAGGGAUGCGUUUCAUACACAGCACUGGCCAGCAGGCUGACUUCAAGAAACAUCUCAACUUUCAUUUAGGACUGCAAGGACUUCAAAGAUAAAAACAAACCACUGGAGAAAAGAGCAAGCCCAUGAUGAUCAUGAGAUAAGGAACAUUAGAGUCCAGAAAGUCAAAAUCUGCACAACAUCUGAUGACUUCUCAUGAUUUGAAGCCACUUGAUGGUAGGACCAAUGAAAGAAAGUUUUCAGUGUUUGGACUGAAGUUGGCAAGCAUGUAUUUCCAUAUGCUAGUUAGCUACUAAACACAUUUUGAGAAGACUUACAAAGUAGGAGAAUACAACAUCUUUUUAAAAUGACUUCUGGAAACUGCAGUAAAUUGGAGACAAAGACAGAACUU
This is a long non-coding RNA of Pezoporus occidentalis (night parrot), 1691 nucleotides long. RefSeq lists it as uncharacterized. The record is from RefSeq and is a predicted model, not a curated record. NCBI's taxonomy places the organism in Eukaryota, Metazoa, Chordata, Aves, Psittaciformes, Psittacidae. The transcript has 2 exons.